UACGAAGGGAGCUAGCGUUGUUCGGAAUCACUGGGCGUAAAGCGCACGUAGGCGGAUGUGUCAGUCAGGGGUGAAAUCCCGGAGCUCAACUUCGGAACUGCCUUUGAUACAGCACGUCUUGAGUCCGAUAGAGGAGAGUGGAAUUCCUGGUGUAGCGGUGAAAUGCGCAGAUAUCAGGAAGAACACCCGUGGCGAAGGCGGCUCUCUGGGACGGUACUGACGCUGAGACGCGAAAGCGUGGGGAGCGAACAGG
RNAcentral lists this ribosomal RNA (253 nucleotides) under uncultured bacterium. Its description in RNAcentral is "partial 16S ribosomal RNA". It matches the Rfam family "Bacterial small subunit ribosomal RNA", at positions 524 to 776 of the family's 1533-position model. The record is from RNAcentral.